Molecule: ribosomal RNA, 253 nt
Filed under: uncultured bacterium
Lineage: Bacteria
Description: partial 16S ribosomal RNA
Rfam family: Bacterial small subunit ribosomal RNA
Source: RNAcentral
UACAGAGGUCCCAAGCGUUGUUCGGAUUCACUGGGCGUAAAGGGUGCGUAGGCGGUCGGGUAAGUCUGACGUGAAAUCUCCAAGCUCAACUUGGAAAUGGCGUCGGAUACUAUUCGGCUUGAGGAGUGGAGGGGAGACUGGAAUUCUCGGUGUAGCAGUGAAAUGCGUAGAUAUCGAGAGGAACACCAGUGGCGAAGGCGAGUCUCUGGACAUUUCCUGACGCUGAGGCACGAAAGCCAGGGGAGCAAACGGG